This 563-nucleotide ribosomal RNA is filed under the name Aspergillus niger. RNAcentral describes it as "eukaryotic LSU rRNA". The stretch from base 181 to 334 matches the Rfam family "5.8S ribosomal RNA". The record is from RNAcentral. Lineage: Eukaryota; Fungi; Ascomycota; Eurotiomycetes; Eurotiales; Aspergillaceae.
AGUGCGAGUCUUUGGGCCACCUCCCAUCCGUGUCUAUUGUACCCUGUUGCUUCGGCGGGCCCGCCGCUUGUCGGCCGCCGGGGGGGCGCCUCUGCCCCCCGGGCCCGUGCCCGCCGGAGACCCCAACACGAACACUGUCUGAAAGCGUGCAGUCUGAGUUGAUUGAAUGCAAUCAGUUAAAACUUUCAACAAUGGAUCUCUUGGUUCCGGCAUCGAUGAAGAACGCAGCGAAAUGCGAUAACUAAUGUGAAUUGCAGAAUUCAGUGAAUCAUCGAGUCUUUGAACGCACAUUGCGCCCCCUGGUAUUCCGGGGGGCAUGCCUGUCCGAGCGUCAUUGCUGCCCUCAAGCCCGGCUUGUGUGUUGGGUCGCCGUCCCCCUCUCCGGGGGGACGGGCCCGAAAGGCAGCGGCGGCACCGCGUCCGAUCCUCGAGCGUAUGGGGCUUUGUCACAUGCUCUGUAGGAUUGGCCGGCGCCUGCCGACGUUUUCCAACCAUUCUUUCCAGGUUGACCUCGGAUCAGGUAGGGAUACCCGCUGAACUUAAGCAUAUCAAUAAGCGGAGGA